Long non-coding RNA from Gallus gallus (chicken), 582 nucleotides. RefSeq lists it as uncharacterized. The transcript has 3 exons. Lineage: Eukaryota; Metazoa; Chordata; Aves; Galliformes; Phasianidae. The record is from RefSeq and is a predicted model, not a curated record.
CCUCAUAAAAUUCCUCUUUACCUUGCUAAAACUAUUAAUUACACAACAUUAAUAAACAAUUCAAAAAAGACCAAAGUCAUAUUUUAGAAGGCCAGAUCAACAAAGCAUCUUGAAAAUAACACUACUACAAGCAGAUAAGUUUCAUUAUUGUCAAAUAGGAAAACAACAGAACUGGAAGAUGAAAUACCUGUCCAAGUGGCAUGAGGCUCUAUCUGGAAUGCGUAACCAAACACCACUGUGAAAGUAAUAGUGCCACAAAAUACCGCUAUGGGACAGACAAGGCACAGUGAGCUUCUGGGGUGGAGACAACAAGGAAAAGGAAAUAAAUCUCUCCAAAACACAUUACCAUGCUAAUCAGUCAGUGCUCCUCUGGAAGGCAGCCAUGAUCAACAGCCUUAGAGAAAAAUCCCAAAACACAGCCAGAGGAGGGAAGGAGACUGUGCAAAAGGACCAGGAAAACAAGUUACAGCCAAUAUGGAGCUUCUUAGCUGGACACCAUUUGGAAGAAAGGCAGAAAAGCAGCAACAACCCUAUGGCAGUUCCAGUUUGCUCAAUAGAUUUCAGUAGUUAAUUUCCAUUGGC